Molecule: long non-coding RNA, 1954 nt
Organism: Lepus europaeus (European hare)
Lineage: Eukaryota; Metazoa; Chordata; Mammalia; Lagomorpha; Leporidae
Exons: 9
Source: RefSeq, a predicted model, not a curated record
GGGUUCGCUGGGAAAACAUGGCGGAGCCGGCUUUCUUUCUGAGGCGCUUCUCUUGUAACUUUGUUGGGUUUGGUGACUGGCCUAGGUUAUUGUAAUUUUGUGCCAAUUAUAAAUUCUGUGAAGGCAGUAUCUUGGCCAUCUACCACCUACCCAGAACCCCACCUCCCCAGCCUGGGACUGUCUUUUCUGCUGACCUCAGCACACUGCCACGGUGAGACUCAGAUUAAGGAGAAGGGCAAGUUGAGGGCGACGCCCGGAGUAAAGAUGGUAUCGUGGGCGCGCGCCCUCGUCGUUCGGCCUCCUCGCGCAGAGCCACGCCUCUUCCGGUACGCUCGACCGGUCAACUGCACGCCGGGAGCCAAGAUGGCGUGCCGCAUCGCGCCGUGGUUCUCGGUAGUGGACUCUGGACCCUCCCCCUUUGUCUAACGUUCCGUCUUCAAGAGGAAGGGCGAGGCGAGGUCUGCACCUGUAGCUGACGUGGAGCCUGAAAGACAGUCUGGCGGCUAGAAUCGCUUAGCUGGUACUUCGCGGGAGCUGUCCCGGAAGCCGUGACCCACGGCUCUUGUGGCAAGGGGCAAGGCAGGCCGGUGCUUCGGAUUCCCGUCGUGGGCGUGUGCAGGAGCGCAGCGCUGGUACUAGGCCGGAUGGGGACGCGAGGGAGGGUCGCAGUACACUCGUUGCCUAGCAGCGUCGCAGGUCACUGGGCGUUCCACGUAGCUAGGACUGUCUGCCUGUAAGCGGGUGGGCCCCGUUAUUUCCAUGAGCUUCAGCUGGGUAGAUGCCACCUUUUUCAGCCACUGGACAUAGAGGAUUCAGUUGAGCAGCACUGGAACCCAUGUUGGAUGAAUGCAUCAUGUGUAACCCUAGAAACAGAUGCAGAAGAGCUGAUCAAGCUAGUAGGCCUCCAAACGAGGACAAGCCCCUGGCUCAGAAUGAGAGAAUGCUGACGUCAAGCCAAAUGCUGUGCCCUUAAACUUGACUACAGAUGUCUCUUCUGGAACCAAUGGAGAGCUGGCUGGACAGAAGGUCAUCUGGAAUGCCAAGGUUACAGUCUGCUCCAGCUCAGUCCUGCAAGACUGCCCUACCUGAAACGCCAGCCUCAAGUGCGGUCCCCAGGCUCCCUGCACUUCGGCCUCGUCAGCUACAAAUCCAGGCACAAUGGUCAGAGGUUUGCAAAAUGUGGUCCUUGGAGCAUCAGCAGUGUCUUUUUCACCCAAGAGCUUGUUGGAAGUGCAAAUGAGACGUGCUGAGAUUCAGGUCUUUGGAGGAAAGGCCAGGAGAAGAUGCCCAGGGCAGAACGGCGGGCACAUCCUACUCUCUUGGGCAGCGUCGGACAACAGCUGACCAGCGAAGCAAAGGCUUCCAGUGUUCCAACAGAGAGAGUGAAGGACAGACACACCUGGCUCCUUUGCCUCUGUUCCCGUUUUCUUGUGAGGCGCACACAGGGCGUGAUGUUCAAGCCUGCAAUGGUCAGGGCUGAAAUCCGGCUCUCGAUGUCCGAAAUCUUAACGUAACAGCAAAACGGGAUCAGCAGGGAGAAAACACAGAAGGUGAGAGUCUUGUUAAAACUAUCAUGGAUUUAUAAAGUACCAGUCUUGAUGGACGCUCAUUCGUUUAUUCAGUGUCUAUGAGCCACUUCUCUCCUUUGUGCUGUAGGGAACCGAUACCUUACAGACCUUUCUUUAAAAGUUUAAAUUUCUAUCCGGUAGCCCUAGACUAGCAUAUCCACACCCUCUUCAAAGUACACCUCAGGAUAGAUGCAAGUCCAGAGCACUGUGAGGAGCAGGGUCACCUACCUUAGCAUGAGGGUCAGAGAGAGUGGUCUGGGAAGGCUGCCAUAGGAGGCAACACUGAAUUGAGUUUUGAAGGGCAAGGGCAAUUUAUAGGCCCUGUGCCCUUCAUCCGUGGCUCUGUCUGAAACUACAGCCCCGGUUCAAGUACAUCUCUCUUGUUG